RNAcentral lists this ribosomal RNA (279 nucleotides) under uncultured bacterium. RNAcentral's name for it is "partial 16S ribosomal RNA". It matches the Rfam family "Bacterial small subunit ribosomal RNA", at positions 506 to 784 of the family's 1533-position model. The record is from RNAcentral.
UGCCAGCCGCCGCGGUAACACGGGGGGCGCAAGCGUUAUUCGGAAUUAUUGGGCGUAAAGGGCGCGUAGGCGGUCUUGUCAGUCAGGUGUGAAAGCCCCGGGCUCAACCUGGGAACUGCAUUCGAUACUGUCUGGCUAGAGUGUGAUAGAGGGAGGCGGAAUUCCGCAUGUAGCGGUGAAAUGCGUAGAGAUGCGGAGGAACACCAAUGGCGAAGGCAGCCUCCUGGACCAACACUGACGCUGAGGUGCGAAAGCGUGGGGAGCAAACAGGAUUAGAUA